RNAcentral lists this unclassified non-coding RNA (305 nucleotides) under uncultured Cantharellales. Its description in RNAcentral is "sequence contains ITS2". Lineage: Eukaryota; Fungi; Basidiomycota; Agaricomycetes; Cantharellales. The record is from RNAcentral.
AACGCACCUUGCGCUCUCUGGUAUUCCGGAGAGCACGCCUGUUCGAGUGUCAUGAAACUCUCAAGCAGAAUUUAACUUUGUUGUUUAGUUCUUGCUUGGAUUUGGACUCUUGCCGCGUUACUGCGGCUGGUCUUAAAAGUAUUAGCUGGUCUGUAAGAAACCUUGGGUUUGACUUGGCGUGAUAAAUAUUCGCCGAGGACACUUUGGUGGCCUAAUUUCUUACUGGAUUGCUUCUAAUCGUCUUUACCGACAACUUAUAUUUCAAAUCUGACCUCGAAUCAGGUGGGACUACCCGCUGAACUUAA